Corvus hawaiiensis (hawaiian crow) is the source of this 289-nucleotide long non-coding RNA. RefSeq lists it as uncharacterized. The transcript has 7 exons. Lineage: Eukaryota; Metazoa; Chordata; Aves; Passeriformes; Corvidae. The record is from RefSeq and is a predicted model, not a curated record.
CAGUGGUCACUGAGGGGGGUCAGUGGUCACUCAGGGGUCACUGGGGGAGGUCAGUGGUCACUGAGGGGGGUCAGUGGUCACUCAGUGGGGGGUCAGUGGUCACUCAGUGGGGUCAGUGGUCACUGGGGGGGGUCGGGGGUCACUGGGGGGGGUCAGUGGUCACUCGGGGGGGUCAGUGGUCACUCAGGGGGCUCAGUGGUCACUGAGGGGGGUCAGUGGUCACUGCGGGGGGGGGUCAGUGGUCACUCAGGGGGGUCAGUGGUCACUGGGGGGGUCAGGGGUCACUCAG